RNAcentral lists this ribosomal RNA (604 nucleotides) under Pseudoalteromonas sp. SOVto2. Its description in RNAcentral is "bacterial SSU rRNA". It matches the Rfam family "Bacterial small subunit ribosomal RNA", at positions 49 to 645 of the family's 1533-position model. The record is from RNAcentral. Lineage: Bacteria; Pseudomonadati; Pseudomonadota; Gammaproteobacteria; Alteromonadales; Pseudoalteromonadaceae.
UAACACAUGACAAGUCGAGCGGUAACANAAAAGGAGCUUGCUNCUUUGCUGACGAGCGNNCGGACGGGUGAGUAAUGCUUGGGAACAUGCCUUGAGGUGGGGGACAACAGUUGGAAACGACUGCUAAUACCGCAUAAUGUCUACGGACCAAAGGGGGCUUCGGCUCUCGCCUUUAGAUUGGCCCAAGUGGGAUUAGCUAGUUGGUGAGGUAAUGGCUCACCAAGGCAACGAUCCCUAGCUGGUUUGAGAGGAUGAUCAGCCACACUGGGACUGAGACACGGCCCAGACUCCUACGGGAGGCANCAGUGGGGAAUAUUGCACAAUGGGCGCAAGCCUGAUGCAGCCAUGCCGCGUGUGUGAAGAANGCCUUCGGGUUGUAAAGCACUUUCAGUCAGGAGGAAAGGUUAGUAGUUAAUACCUGCUAGCUGUGACGUUACUGACAGAAGAAGCACCGGCUAACUCCGUGCCAGCAGCCGCGGUAAUACGGAGGGUGCGAGCGUUAAUCGGAAUUACUGGGCGUAAAGCGUACGCAGGCGGUUUGUUAAGCGAGAUGUGAAAGCCCCGGGCUCAACCUGGGAACUGCAUUUUCAACUGGCAAACUANA